AACAGGAGCUGUGAUUGGCUGAUUCACAUUAAGGCUAAAUGAAGUGCAGGCUCCUCACUACUGUGGAAGGAAGGAAGAGAAACGCACGAAGCUUACGUCUGUGAAGCAUUUCACUUUGUUUCUAUCUCUUAUCGAAGCCAUGGGACAAAGUCACUGUGUGAUACUGCUUUGGCUGCUGGUGAUUGGAGAGCUUCAAGCAGAACAUGAACCUUUGCAACAUGACUUUAAAUUUGACCUGACCCAUGAGCAUCAGACUCCUGGAAACCCGGCAGCUCUGCAGUAUCAGAUUCUCCUGCCUGUUGUUAACUACCCGCUUAAUCACCCCAAGACGGCUUUUCUCAGUCC
This is a non-coding RNA of Nothobranchius furzeri (turquoise killifish), 345 nucleotides long. The record is from RefSeq and is a predicted model, not a curated record. NCBI's taxonomy places the organism in Eukaryota, Metazoa, Chordata, Actinopteri, Cyprinodontiformes, Nothobranchiidae.